Molecule: ribosomal RNA, 301 nt
Filed under: uncultured bacterium
Lineage: Bacteria
Description: partial 16S ribosomal RNA
Rfam family: Bacterial small subunit ribosomal RNA
Source: RNAcentral
CAGCAGCCGCGGUAAAACGGAGGGUGCAAGCGUUAUCCGGAUUUAUUGGGUUUAAAGGGUCCGUAGGCGGACUUAUAAGUCAGUGGUGAAAGCCUGUCGCUUAACGAUAGAACUGCCAUUGAUACUGUAAGUCUUGAGUAUAUUUGAGGUAGCUGGAAUAAGUAGUGUAGCGGUGAAAUGCAUAGAUAUUACUUAGAACACCAAUUGCGAAGGCAGGUUACCAAGAUAUAACUGACGCUGAGGGACGAAAGCGUGGGUAGCGAACAGGAUUAGAUACCCGGGUAGUCCCUGUCUCUUAUAU